This is a long non-coding RNA of Bubalus bubalis (water buffalo), 2056 nucleotides long. RefSeq lists it as uncharacterized. The transcript is spliced from 3 exons. The record is from RefSeq and is a predicted model, not a curated record. Lineage: Eukaryota; Metazoa; Chordata; Mammalia; Artiodactyla; Bovidae.
GUGAACCCGCACCUCUUACAUCUCCAGCGCUGGCAGGCAGGUUCUUUACCACCAGUGCCACCUGUGAAGCCCUAAUUUCAGUUUCUCCAGGAGCAAAGUAGCUAGUAGCUAGUUCUGGCCCAGUGUCUUUGAUAAGGUUGCCAGUGGCUGGGACGUCCCUGGUGGUCCAGUGGCUAAGACUCCAUGCUCCCAAUGCAAGAGGGCCUGGGUUCAAUCCCCAGUCAGGGAACUAGAUCCCACAUGCCAAGACCCAGUGCAGCAAAAUAAAUAAAAAUUUAAAAAGAAGAUGGUGGCUGAGGUUACAGCAUCUGAAGGCUUGGCUUGGGGCUCAAGGUUUCCUCCCCUGCUCAGGGGCCCCCUCACGCUCUGGGCAAGCUGGUGCUGACUGUGGGCGUGAGGACUCAGUUCCUCUGCCUGGGGGCCUGUCCACACACCAGCAAAGCUGGAGUCAGCUGUGUCUAGUUCAGCCGAGCAAGAGUCAGCGGUGUCCAGUUUGAGCUGAGCUGGUUGAGACUGGCUGGGACCACUGACCUUUCAACUGAGUGUGCGAACAUGCAGAGGCCUGUUGCUGAGCUAUGUCUGCACAAAGCGACGACCAGGGCACCCUUUUCCAUCACCUUUCCCCACGGUCCCCGUGUCUCAGACGACCUGCUUCUUCAGUCUUCAUCCCAUAAACACAUAAGCCCCUUGCCUGAGGGGAACUGGAUUUGGGGUUUGUUUUCCCAUCUCCUUGCUUGGUGGCCCUGCUGAUGGACCCUGUCUUUGCUGCAGACUUUGGUGUCUCUGUUUUGGGUUGCUGUACAUCCAGGUGGGUGAGAAGCUGAGGGCUGAGCAUCACACCUGGAGAUGGAGCCUGGUGGGAAGACGAGCUCAUGUUGGCAAAGCUGCAUGCUGGCAGAUAACAGCCUCUUUUCCAGCCCUGAGGCAGUUUCCAGCUUCUCCAGUCAGGUUCAACCCACAGCUGUAGCCUGAGAAGCCAGAGGGGAGAGAGCUACUCCAACCAUGGGGGGAGGCCUGCUGCUUCCUGAUCCCAUCAUAGAGCCCCGCUGGGGAGGGGCCAGAGUGGGAGCCCUGCUACGGUCCUCCAUCCUCGAGCACAGAGAAGAUGGGAGAGAGGCAGGGGUCUCUGCCCGGGGCUGGUCCACCCCAGCUCAGCUGAAACACAGGCGUCUCCAGCCCAGACUCCAUGGGGUGGACAAAAGGCAGUUUUGGGCCCCUCCCACCCAGACUGUGGGGCAGGCCCAGGAUGCAUGCCUGUCUUAGAUGCUGGCCCUUCAGGAGUGGCUGCCCUGGGUGGGUUGGGGCUGGGAUAAGCCUGAGGCCUGGUCUCUGGGUCACUGUGUUGGGUACCUGCUGGCCAUAUUUGUAGAGCAUGCACACUGUUACUUGUGUUCUGAUCUCUGCAGACUGUCCUUGAAGGAUGUGUGCUCCUGGGUCUGGGUAAUUUUUUUUCUUUCUCUUAAAAGAUAAGACUUCUAAGAGCAGCUUUAGGUUCACAGCUAAACUAGGUGGAAAGUGUGACAUUUCAAUAUUCCUCCUCCCUCACACCCGUGGCUUCCCCGUCAUCAUCUCCACCGGUUGGUACUUGUGUUACAACUGAUGACCCCACAUGGACAUGUCAUUAUGACCCAGAGUCCACAGUUGACAUCAGGGGUCACUGUAGGUGGUGUGUGUCCUGUGGGUUUGGCCGAACAAAUAAUGACACGUAUAUUAUACAUCAAUACAGUAUCAUACAGAGAAGUUUCACUGCCUUAAAAACUCUGUUCUCCACCUGUUCAUCCCUCCCUCGCCACAAUCCCUCAAAAUCAGACCUUUUUAUCCUUGGCAUAUCUUGCCUUUUCCGUGACAUCAAACUAGUUGCAAUCAUAUAGCGUGUAGCCUUUGUUUCCUCCAUGUCUUCAUGACUUGACAGCUCGCUUAUUUUAGCAUGUAAUAAUAUUCCCAUCUGGAUGCCCUGUAGUUCAUUUAUCCAUCACCUACUGAAGGACACCUUGGUUGUUUUCAAGUUUUGGCAAUUAUGAAUAAAGUCACUGUGAAAAAGCACCCAUGUGCAAGU